RNAcentral lists this ribosomal RNA (457 nucleotides) under uncultured bacterium. Its description in RNAcentral is "bacterial SSU rRNA". It matches the Rfam family "Bacterial small subunit ribosomal RNA", at positions 340 to 786 of the family's 1533-position model. The record is from RNAcentral.
UACGGAAGGCAGCAGUGGGGAAUAUUGCACAAUGGGCGAAAGCCUGAUGCAGCUAUGCCGCGUGCAUGAAGAAGGCCUUAGGGUUGUAAAGUACUUUCAUCGGGGAGGAAAAAACAAAACUAAUAAUUUUAUUUCUUGACGUUACCCGAAAAAGAAGCACCGGCUAACUCCGUGCCAGCAGCCGCGGUAAUACGGAGGGUGCUAGCGUUAAUCAGAAUUACUGGGCGUAAAGAGCACGUAGGUGGUUUUUUUAAGUCAGAUGUGAAAUCCCUGGGCUUAACCUAGGAACUGCAUUUUGAAACUGAAAUACUAGAGUAUCGUAGAGGGAGGUAGAAUUCUAGGUGUAGCGGUGAAAUGCGUAGAUAUCUGGAGGAAUACCUGUGGCGAAAGCGGGCCUCCUAAACGAAUACUGACACUGAGGUGCGAAAGCGUGGGGAGCAAACAGGGAUUAGAUACC